RNAcentral lists this ribosomal RNA (253 nucleotides) under uncultured bacterium. RNAcentral's name for it is "partial 16S ribosomal RNA". It matches the Rfam family "Bacterial small subunit ribosomal RNA", at positions 524 to 776 of the family's 1533-position model. The record is from RNAcentral.
UACGGGGGGGGCAAGCGUUGUUCGGAAUUAUUGGGCGUAAAGGGCGCGUAGGCGGCUUGGCAAGUCAAAGGUGAAAUCCCUCGGCUCAACUGAGGAACUGCCUUUGAAACUGCCUGGCUUGAGGCCGGGAGGGGGUAGCGGAAUUCCCAGUGUAGCGGUGAAAUGCGUAGAUAUUGGGAGGAACACCAGUGGCGAAGGCGGCUACCUGGACCGGUUCUGACGCUGAUGCGCGAAAGCGUGGGUAGCAAACAGG